GUUGUCCUCGCUUUGUGAUGAGCUCCAGUGGGCGGUGACCUGAGACCCAGGAAUCAAGGCCCUUCCGACAGCGCGCGCCUCCCUGCGCGGGCCCCACAAGGCCAGAGGAUGAGUCAGCGCCGAGUGACUCAGGGAGUAAUUUUAGACACUUGGAGGGCUGCAGAAUCAUGUGGAGAUGCCGAAAACACAAAAACAAGCGUCCCAGACUCUGCCUCUGGGCUCCUCUGGCAGAGCCAAUCACCGGCUCUUUCAGUUGCUACUCACAGUGGCAUUUUCCACACCUGGCCCCGGAGGCUGAGGGCCGGUGACCUCCGCUCCGUGGGCGGGCACCGCGGUGAGCGGGCUGUGGGGUGAUGGCCGUGCAGAACUGUGUCGCGUCCUUAUUUCUCGGAGUUAGCCUGUUCUGCCAAGUUCUCCCUUCAUAGUCAGGAACCAACCAAUUGCCAUGAAAAUCAGAUGAAUAAAUAUUGAAGAGAAUGUGCUCAUCGUCUAUUUUAGGGUCCUCGCGCGAGGAAGUGACAUUACCUUAGCAAUUAAGUCUUCCACUUCCAUUUUCUUCCUCAGCUAACGUUGUCCUCCGUGUGAUCCAUUAAACUAGAUAAUCAGAUCCAGCUAAAAGUCCCCCACCCCCUACCCCGCAAAGGACAGUCCUGAGUUGGUGGGACUUAAAUUUUCUCAAUGGCACUGCAUAUUUCUCCUGCAGAGUUAAAAUCACGUGGGUGGCCCAGCUUUGAGUAUUGGCUCGCCUAGACACCUGCUUUAACCAUGUUGCCGUCACUUUAUUUCCUCCUGAUUUUUGACACCAUCUGGAUACCGCUCUGUGAAUGUAUAAUACAUGUGCCAUUACUAGUGUGUCUCUCUUUUAAAGUUAUCCUUUGGUCUAUAAAGACUACGUGAACAAAACCCAUUUGGUAUCUUCGGCUUAUGACAUGACAAAUUCAGCUAAACUUUAACUUUUGGUUUUCUUAAAUAACUAAAAUCUCCAGCUGACAGAUUUAUAUUCUUCUCUCCUGCUUCCUUUUAGGUAGCCACCACUGAACUGCAGGCGAGCCUUCCAAGCCCAGAGGGCCCUGGGCUGGUCCCAUGGAGGAGCUCAUGUGUGAUCCUACACCUUGGCUCUCAGUCCCUGACCUGCGAAAGCUGGGGCUGCUCUCGGAGCUCAUCUACCCAAUGCUUGUGGAACACCUGCCACGUGCCAGGCACUGCUGCCGGGGCUGGGCUCGGCACAACAGACAAGGUCACCACCCUCAUGGCAAGUCUGGCCCAGUGGGAGAAGGGCAGCCAAGUAGUGAGCAACUUUGUGUCAACACGUAAAGGCACUCCUGCUCAGUGGAUGCGAUGUAGGGAUGGACGGAUGGAUCUCAGAAGGCAGCAGAUGAACUGGCAGAGGCGGGACCUGUGA
Molecule: non-coding RNA, 1402 nt
Organism: Oryctolagus cuniculus (rabbit)
Lineage: Eukaryota; Metazoa; Chordata; Mammalia; Lagomorpha; Leporidae
Source: RefSeq, a predicted model, not a curated record